Homo sapiens (human) is the source of this 1147-nucleotide long non-coding RNA. Ensembl annotates it as long intergenic non-protein coding RNA 513. Lineage: Eukaryota; Metazoa; Chordata; Mammalia; Primates; Hominidae. The record is from Ensembl.
CACUUAACAAUAUGUGCAGGCAGGACCGAAAAAAGGUGUGGUGCCUUCCAGCCCAUAAAUCAAAGUUUUCUCUUGUCACUGCCGUGUAAGAAGUGCCUUUUGCCUCCUGCCAUGAUUCUGAGGCUUCCCCAGCCAUGUGGAACUAGAUGACGCCUUGCUGUGUUGCCCAGGGUGGUCUCUAAUUCCUGGCCUUUAGCAAUUCUCCCGCCUUGGCCUCCUAAAGCACUGGGGUUACAGGCAUGAACCACUGUGCCCAGCCUGCAUGAUGUAAUCUCCAAAUUGAGGGCAGGAGAGAGAGUGGUCUCACAACGGAAGGGCACCAGCCACUGAGAAGUCCUAAGGCCGUGUUUGAGUUCUGGCUCAUCUUUUUUGCUAAUUUGCUCUUAUGCAUAUCACCCAACCUCGCUAAGCCAGUUUCAUCAUCAGCGAGAACAGCACACUGACAUGCAGGGCCAGCUCAGGCGCUACCACAAGCUACACAUCCGUCCAUUCGUUUAAUCUUCACAGCAGCCCUGGAGAUCCCCUGGAGGUAUAUAGCUUAUUAACACAAAACAAAUGUGACACUUGAAAGGCAGGAGACUUGGUUUCUAUUCUCUGGCCCACUACUGACUUAUUGGGUGGCUUCAGGCAAAUAAGUGAAAUCAAGAAGACACCAUCUUCAACAAGCACAGAGUGGGCACCUGGCAGACUUUCUUUUUUAAAAGCAAAAUAAAUUGACAUGACUUGUUCAGGGUUAACUGUUUGGCAGGUGGAUGAUCUGUGGCCAUCCAUGAUGAGAUCACCUCCCUGCCCCGCUGGCCCCCAGCCUCUAGAAGUCAGGGCUUCUGAGGCCCAGAAGCUCAGCGCCACACCUGUUGAAGGCCAGUGAUGUCAGAGUUACUCUUCCUUCCUCCAGCAGCACUGACAGCAGUUUAUUGUACGCAAUUUCUAGAACUCAGAUGUUCUAGAAGGAAGCAAACAUAUUCUGAGAUCACAGACUAUGACUAUGCUCUCAGAAUAUGUUCUAGAACACCUAAGUUGCAAUUCUUAAAAUCAACACAGCGUAAGACUGCUUUAGGAGGAAGUGAUCAAGCUCAAAGCAACCUAGGCAUGAUGUGCCUUGUUUGUUUAUCUGUUUGAACAGGAAUAAAACGAAAAGAGGCCUGUG